UGGCUCAGAUUGAACGCUGGCGGCAGGCCUAACACAUGCAAGUCGAACGGUAACAGGAAGCAGCUUGCUGCUUCGCUGACGAGUGGCGGACGGGUGAGUAAUGUCUGGGAAACUGCCUGAUGGAGGGGGAUAACUACUGGAAACGGUAGCUAAUACCGCAUAAUGUCGCAAGACCAAAGAGGGGGACCUUCGGGCCUCUUGCCAUCGGAUGUGCCCAGAUGGGAUUAGCUUGUUGGUGGGGUAACGGCUCACCAAGGCGACGAUCCCUAGCUGGUCUGAGAGGAUGACCAGCCACACUGGAACUGAGACACGGUCCAGACUCCUACGGGAGGCAGCAGUGGGGAAUAUUGCACAAUGGGCGCAAGCCUGAUGCAGCCAUGCCGCGUGUAUGAAGAAGGCCUUCGGGUUGUAAAGUACUUUCAGCGGGGAGGAAGGGAGUAAAGUUAAUACCUUUGCUCAUUGACGUUACCCGCAGAAGAAGCACCGGCUAACUCCGUGCCAGCAGCCGCGGUAAUACGGAGGGUGCAAGCGUUAAUCGGAAUUACUGGGCGUAAAGCGCACGCAGGCGGUUUGUUAAGUCAGAUGUGAAAUCCCCGGGCUCAACCUGGGAACUGCAUCUGAUACUGGCAAGCUUGAGUCUCGUAGAGGGGGGUAGAAUUCCAGGUGUAGCGGUGAAAAUGCGUAGAGAUCUGGAGGAAUACCGGUGGCGAAGGCGGCCCCCUGGACGAAGACUGACGCUCAGGUGCGAAAGCGUGGGGAGCAAACAGGAUUAGAUACCCUGGUAGUCCACGCCGUAAACGAUGUCGACUUGGAGGUUGUGCCCUUGAGGCGUGGCUUCCGGAGCUAACGCGUUAAGUCGACCGCCUGGGGAGUACGGCCGCAAGGUUAAAACUCAAAUGAAUUGACGGGGGCCCGCACAAGCGGUGGAGCAUGUGGUUUAAUUCGAUGCAACGCGAAGAACCUUACCUGGUCUUGACAUCCACGGAAGUUUUCAGAGAUGAGAAUGUGCCUUCGGGAACCGUGAGACAGGUGCUGCAUGGCUGUCGUCAGCUCGUGUUGUGAAAUGUUGGGUUAAGUCCCGCAACGAGCGCAACCCUUAUCCUUUGUUGCCAGCGGUCCGGCCGGGAACUCAAAGGAGACUGCCAGUGAUAAACUGGAGGAAGGUGGGGAUGACGUCAAGUCAUCAUGGCCCUUACGACCAGGGCUACACACGUGCUACAAUGGCGCAUACAAAGAGAAGCGACCUCGCGAGAGCAAGCGGACCUCAUAAAGUGCGUCGUAGUCCGGAUUGGAGUCUGCAACUCGACUCCAUGAAGUCGGAAUCGCUAGUAAUCGUGGAUCAGAAUGCCACGGUGAAUACGUUCCCGGGCCUUGUACACACCGCCCGUCACACCAUGGGAGUGGGUUGCAAAAGAAGUAGGUAGCUUAACCUUCGGGAGGGCGCUUACCACUUUGUGAUUCAUGACUGGGGUGAAGUCGUAACAAGGUAACCGUAGGGGAACCUG
Molecule: ribosomal RNA, 1505 nt
Filed under: Shigella boydii
Lineage: Bacteria; Pseudomonadati; Pseudomonadota; Gammaproteobacteria; Enterobacterales; Enterobacteriaceae
Description: 16S ribosomal RNA
Rfam family: Bacterial small subunit ribosomal RNA
Source: RNAcentral